Molecule: ribosomal RNA, 250 nt
Filed under: uncultured prokaryote
Description: partial 16S ribosomal RNA
Rfam family: Bacterial small subunit ribosomal RNA
Source: RNAcentral
UACGUAGGGGGCGAGCGUUAUCCGGAAUUAUUGGGCGUAAAGAGUACGUAGGUGGUUCUGUAAGCGUGAGGUGAAAGCCCGGGGCUUAACUCCGGCGAGCCUCAUGAACUGCAGGACUUGAGUGCAGGAGGGGAAAGUGGAAUUCCUGGUGUAGCGGUGAAAUGCGUAGAUAUCAGGAGGAACACCGGUGGCGAAGGCGACUUUCUGGACUGUAACUGACACUGAGGUACGAAAGCGUGGGGAGCAAACA